Molecule: unclassified non-coding RNA, 301 nt
Filed under: Hevea brasiliensis (rubber tree)
Lineage: Eukaryota; Viridiplantae; Streptophyta; Magnoliopsida; Malpighiales; Euphorbiaceae
Source: RNAcentral
GGGGCGGCGGAGGGGGAGAGUGUUGUACCAAUUAGGCCUAUGAAAUAGAUUUGCUGGGUUAGUAUUCCUUGUAUAUCUAAAUUAGUUAGUUAAAUAUAUGUUCUAACAGAGUCUUUUAACAACUUGGUGUUUUGAGUUAUGUUUAUUUCUUGUUCGAGGGAGCUUAUUUUCUGACUUGAUGUACAAGACUACUGGGCUUCAAAAUUUAAAGUAGUGAGUUACAAUCUAGGCAAAUAAUUGGCUUUAGAGCAAAGUAAAACGUUGUUUCACGUGCACAUGGCCUGUUGCUUAUGAACUUAUU